This 433-nucleotide ribosomal RNA is filed under the name uncultured bacterium. RNAcentral describes it as "partial 16S ribosomal RNA". It matches the Rfam family "Bacterial small subunit ribosomal RNA", at positions 29 to 507 of the family's 1533-position model. The record is from RNAcentral.
AACGAACGCUGGUGGCAUGCCUAACACAUGCAAGUCGAACGAGACCUUCGGGUCUAGUGGCGCACGGGUGCGUAACGCGUGGGAACCUGCCCUUAGGUUCGGAAUAACUCCCCGAAAGGGGUGCUAAUACCGGAUAAUGUCUUCGGACCAAAGAUUUAUCGCCUUUGGAUGGGCCCGCGUUGGAUUAGCUAGUUGGUAGGGUAAAAGCCUACCAAGGCGACGAUCCAUAGCUGGUCUGAGAGGAUGAUCAGCCACACUGGGACUGAGACACGGCCCAGACUCCUACGGGAGGCAGCAGUGGGGAAUAUUGGACAAUGGGCGAAAGCCUGAUCCAGCAAUGCCGCGUGAGUGAUGAAGGCCUUAGGGUUGUAAAGCUCUUUUAACCGGGAUGAUAAUGACAGUACCGGGAGAAUAAGCACCGGCUAACUACGUG